UGAAUCACAACUUAUUAUCCUUGUACCAUCCUAGAUUGUCAACACGUAUUCCUUUUCAAUCAUGACAAAAAUUAGCAUUUGUCUCCAGAAAUUUCAAAGAACACAUUCUAGCAACUAAAAGCGAUAUACAAAUUUGAUUCGAGUCAUGGAGUGUAGCAAUAUAAUGUUGCUAAUUCACAGAUCAACAUGUACAGUAACUUCUUUUGUUUGCGAUGUGAUGGUGGGGACGAUCUUCUCCUGAUGUAUAGCAAGGACUCGAGCUUAUGGCUAUUAUGACUUCUCAGUAGGCAGGUAGACCUAAAAGCAAAUCUUUUCGUCCGAGUUUUUUCUGCAAAGAAUCCUCUAACGCUCAGGUGGAUCGGAAUUCAAAGAAUAGUAGGAGGAA
This 385-nucleotide long non-coding RNA is filed under the name Elaeis guineensis (African oil palm). RNAcentral describes it as "long non-coding RNA (EGUI_LNC074413)". Lineage: Eukaryota; Viridiplantae; Streptophyta; Magnoliopsida; Arecales; Arecaceae. The record is from RNAcentral.